CCUGGAAAUACUGAGGUUGAGU
RNAcentral lists this microRNA (22 nucleotides) under Sphenodon punctatus (tuatara). RNAcentral's name for it is "Spt-Mir-875_3p* (star (passenger))". The record is from RNAcentral. RNAcentral also lists the same sequence under 3 other names. Lineage: Eukaryota; Metazoa; Chordata; Lepidosauria; Sphenodontia; Sphenodontidae.